This is a long non-coding RNA of Ricinus communis (castor bean), 339 nucleotides long. RefSeq lists it as uncharacterized. The transcript is spliced from 2 exons. The record is from RefSeq and is a predicted model, not a curated record. Lineage: Eukaryota; Viridiplantae; Streptophyta; Magnoliopsida; Malpighiales; Euphorbiaceae.
GUCUACUUCCUCUCAAGUAGGUCUGUCAUCUAGUCCUUCAGGAUCCACAGUCUCAGAAAGUGAUUGGGAUCGGCCAUAGAGAAUGAGGACUUUAUGUAUUGGAUCAACUCAAAACCCCUCACACUGCGGCUGUUGUUCAUGGUGUGAAUUUGUCAUCCUUUCAUUUGAAUCCCUCUUCAUCUGUGUUUUAUUUAUGGCACUCUCGCCUUGGUCAUGUUUCUGUGUCUCGUUUAAAAUUUUUAGUUUCUACAGGAGCUUUAGGAAAUUUGAAAACUCAUGAUAUUUCUGAUUGCAGUGGUUGUAAACUAGCCAAGUUUAAUGCAUUGCCUUUUCCUAAAA